This 516-nucleotide long non-coding RNA is filed under the name Sus scrofa (pig). RNAcentral's name for it is "lncRNA (ENSSSCG00070017560.1)". Lineage: Eukaryota; Metazoa; Chordata; Mammalia; Artiodactyla; Suidae. The record is from RNAcentral.
GGUCAUUAUAGAUGAGUCCAGAGAGAAAACCACACUUGGCAGAGGAUUUGACACCGCGUGGGUAGGUGCGUGUUUUAACUCUGAGAUUUUUUUUCUUUUUUUUUAAUGGAAGUAGAGAAGAUUUGUCUGGAACCAUUGGGAAGAAAUAUGGUAAAUAAUCUAAAUGAUGUCCCGGGAGAAGCCUAGAGUGUGAAGUCUCAAUACCACUGUCUUCUGGAUAAAAGCAGAAACAUCUGGAAGGGUUUGCAUAGAUGACCUGGAGACGCGGAGAGCUGAGUGAGGAAGAAUUUGAAGUCCUUGUCCAUCUGAAGCCAUGAUUUAAAUACCAGCAUUACGAUUUGAACAAGAACAACUUCAGCGUCAUUGGAUUCCCACGUCAAAGAAAAGUUCCAAGCUUUCAGAAAGAGUUCUUGCUUGAAGACAAAGAACAGCUUGCCAACCACAAUAGAGGAAUCGACCCUCAGCUUUUAAGUGCCCUUCCUAAAGUUGCAGAAUUAAGAAAAAUCUUCGAACCAA